This 967-nucleotide long non-coding RNA is filed under the name Homo sapiens (human). Its description in RNAcentral is "non-protein coding lnc-PAQR9-4:1". Lineage: Eukaryota; Metazoa; Chordata; Mammalia; Primates; Hominidae. The record is from RNAcentral.
UUUUUUUAGGCCAAUUGUGUCUGAGAGAAAUGAACUUCUUAUUCAGUUUUUAUCAGACUUAAGUUUAACUGCAGAUGGGUUUAUUGGUCACUACAUAUUCAGGCCAAAAAAACUGCCUACAACUACAGAACAGCCUGUCACCACCACAUUCCCUGUAACCACGGGUUUAAAACCCACCGUGGCCUUGUGUCAACAAAAGUGUAGACGGACGGGGACUCUGGAGGGCAAUUAUUGUUCAAGUGACUUUGUAUUAGCCGGCACUGUUAUCACAACCAUCACUCGCGAUGGGAGUUUGCACGCCACAGUCUCGAUCAUCAACAUCUACAAAGAGGGAAAUUUGGCGAUUCAGCAGGCGGGCAAGAACAUGAGUGCCAGGCUGACUGUCGUCUGCAAGCAGUGCCCUCUCCUCAGAAGAGGUCUAAAUUACAUUAUUAUGGGCCAAGUAGGUGAAGAUGGGCGAGGCAAAAUCAUGCCAAACAGCUUUAUCAUGAUGUUCAAGACCAAGAAUCAGAAGCUCCUGGAUGCCUUAAAAAAUAAGCAAUGUUAACAGUGAACUGUGUCCAUUUAAGCUGUAUUCUGCCAUUGCCUUUGAAAGAUCUAUGUUCUCUCAGUAGAAAAAAAAAUACUUAUAAAAUUACAUAUUCUGAAAGAGGAUUCCGAAAGAUGGGACUGGUUGACUCUUCACAUGAUGGAGGUAUGAGGCCUCCGAGAUAGCUGAGGGAAGUUCUUUGCCUGCUGUCAGAGGAGCAGCUAUCUGAUUGGAAACCUGCCGACUUAGUGCGGUGAUAGGAAGCUAAAAGUGUCAAGCGUUGACAGCUUGGAAGCGUUUAUUUAUACAUCUCUGUAAAAGGAUAUUUUAGAAUUGAGUUGUGUGAAGAUGUCAAAAAAAGAUUUUAGAAGUGCAAUAUUUAUAGUGUUAUUUGUUUCACCUUCAAGCCUUUGCCCUGAGGUGUUACAAUCUUGUCUU